This is a long non-coding RNA of Octopus sinensis (East Asian common octopus), 698 nucleotides long. RefSeq lists it as uncharacterized. The record is from RefSeq and is a predicted model, not a curated record. The transcript has 3 exons. Lineage: Eukaryota; Metazoa; Mollusca; Cephalopoda; Octopoda; Octopodidae.
CGAUAACCACGUCUAGUGUUGACCUAGUAGUUAUCUCCCUUGUGACAGCGCCAAAGCCUGUCGACUUCGUACGAAGUAAAGCAACCAACAAGAAGGCCGCCGCGUAGUGCUUCUUCCUGCCUUACAUCAAUUUACAGCUGCUUUCGCUCUACUGCUGCUGCACUCUCCUAGUUUCUCUUGUUCUUCCAGGAAUCAUGUUCCCUCGCAAAAUCUACUGCAGAAGCCCGGAAUCGACGACUCGGCUACGUAAAAAGCCGUCCUUCAUUCGAACCAUUCAAAAAACAAAAAACAAAAACAAAAAAAAAAAAGGGGUCCGUUUUCGGUGUCCGUCCGUCCGGUCCGGUCCGUCGCCAGCUCAUUGCCUGCCGCUCAAAAUCUACGUCGUCCUUCUUCACAGCGCAAGGGUUGAACAGUUCAACAGGAACCAACAAGUCGGCAGACUGCACCAGGCUCCUAUGUCUGUGUCCUAUCAAAAGACAAGACUGUAGGGUCAUAUACGGGAAGCCUUUGAUCCUAUAUCUGCUCAUUCAGGGUUGACUUGGGAUUAAGCACCAACAUGCUACUAAAAAUAUUUGUCUGAUUAGAGUUACUGAGCUUUAAGCCCAUCUCUUUCCUGGCUACCAUCGAUCACAAAGCUUUAUGACACAAGACAACAACAGACCACCAAACUUCUUUGUGGUUGCUUGACCAAUUAGAAA